GAAUGAAUGUCUACUGUUGCCUGGACUGGUCUGCAAAGUCCUGUAGCAUUUGAGCAUGUGUGAGGGCUUUAUAGGGCUUGCACAAUGCCAAGACUAGUUACACAUUUUCAUAGCAGCUUUGUUUAUAGACAAGAACUGGAAACAGUGCAGAUGUCUAUCAGCAGGUGAGUGGAUGCAGACUCCCCAGGCCCACCUUAGGAGACAGAGUGGGGGAAGGGCCAUACAGUUGAUCUCUCAAAAAUAGGAAAGGCUGAGCUAUUGGCACUUAACAUCGAUGAUGCUCAAAAUAAUUAUUCUGAAAGAAGCCAGAUUAAAAAAAAAUACAACAUGCUGUAUGAUUCCAUUUAUUGAAACUUCUAGAAAGUAUAUAGUAACAAAAAGCAGAUCAGGGGUCACCUGGAGAUGUGAGGGGGGAUGGUGGAGGUGUGAAGGGAUUGCAGAGAGGCAGGAGGAAACUUUUGGGGAGAUAGACACAUUGUUUAUAUUGACUGUGGUGUCCUCACAGCUGAUGCAUAGUAUUGGAACUCAGCAGAGUGUGCUUGAAAUGUGCAGGUUGCUGCCCUUCAUUGAAACUGUUUUUUGAAAUUAGCUACAACCAACAGGGGACAGAGAAACCCCCAAGUGGUCUCUUCCUUUACUGAAGACUAUGAUGUAGAAAUUGAUUGCAGAAGAAAUCUCUUUCCUGACCAUGAAAUGUUUUGAGCUUAGCAGUGCUUACCUGCUGCGUGGCUAAAUUGAUCCUGCUUCAAAUGCUGGGCGGGAUCUUUAGGGGUGUAAGUACCACGUAGGCAACAUGAUGCCAAAGCGAGGUCUCUCUGCCCCCAGAUGCAGGUCCCUUCCCUCAUGCAUCAAUCCUUUGGGGAUAAAUGGGAGAAGCCCCGCCUGUGGUUCCAAAGCCUUUGGAAAGAAAGUUGAGGGAUCCCGGGAGCAAAGAGGGUUGGGGAUGUGCCAAGGAAUGAGUAGGAGGUGCGCACUGGAAGGAGGGUGCUCCACACAGGCCUCCACUGUGCACCCAGUGUCCCACAAGGCUGGUUCAGAGCCAGGGCUGCAGGCCAGGGACAUCCAGGGCACAUUGCAGGUGCAGGGGACUCUGCUGAGCCCAGGGAAGGGGAUACUGGGGCUGAGCAGAAUGCUCAGUGGUAAGGCACCCGGGUUCAAUACCUAGUCCUUUACCUGGAGCUGAAGCUCCCUGCCUCCUUUUCUUUUCCGGGUUAAAGCUUCCCCUGUGCAUUCAGUCUCAUUGGACUUGGAGUUACCUUUGACUCAACUCAGAAGUUCCCAUCUCUGGUAUCUCCACCUCCUCUUGGUACUGGGGAUUGGACCAGGGGCUCUGCCACUAAGCUACAUCCUCAGCCUUUUAAUUCUUUAUCUUGAGACAGUGCCUCACUAAGUUGCUGAGCCUGGCCUCAAACCCACAAUCCUCCUGCCUCAGCCUCCCAAGUCACUGGAUCAUAGGUGGGUGCCACUGUGCUCAGCCUGUGGUUGCAUUUGGAUGCAGUCCAAGCUGCUGCAGGUUUGGGGAAUGUUCUGUGGGCAUCUAUAUAACAGUACCUGGACGGGGGUGCUUUCUGAAGGGUGCACCAGACCCUCUCGCUGUUUGCUCUGUGGAUGUGCUGCCUGGCCUACAGUGGGUUAGUCACGGAACAUUCAGGAGAGAUCUAGGGCAUUGGGCAGUGCCCUCCAUCCAGCAGGUGACCUGGCAGGAAGAGCCCUUGCAGCAAGGAAGGGGGGUGGCACUCUGUAGGUGAAGGCACAGAGCUCUCUGAUGACUAGUGACCAACUGAAUGUGAAGCAGAAAAAUCCCAUGAACUUCAUGUUCAAGUACAAAGUUGGCUAGGAUGACUGGGUGGCAUUGCAAUCUCCUGAAGGUCCUUCUUGGAUUCAUACACAAAGAGAGAGCGAGGGAUUAAGGGGCAGGAAGGAAACACAACUUUUUCAAACACUGAGAUCUGGAGUCCAGCUCCUGCCAUGUAGUCAGUGAAUGAAUGGAUAAUAGUUGUUUUUACAGGACCAUGUGACCUGGGGCUGCUCGGCUUCCUGUGGGCCCUCAGCAUCCCCAUCUAUAAAGCAAGGGCACAGACCAAGGGUGCUGUCAGCUUUCUGUUGCUGUGACAAAGCAUCUGAGAGAAUCCCCUUAAAAGGAAACAGGGUUUCUUUUGGCUCAUGGUUGCAUACAUUUCAGUCCAUGGGACCUUAGCCCUGUUGCUUUGGGCCUGUGGCAGCACAGAAGGACAUCCUGGCAGCUGGAGCAUGUGACAGAGGAGGCUGCUCACCUCUAGGAAGUGGGGUGGGGGUGAGGGUAGGACUGGGCUGGGUCCAAUAUCCCCUCAAGGGCACACCCCUAAUGACCUCAUUUCCCUCCAUUAGGCCCCACCUCCUAAAGGUUGCAUUAUGUCCCAAGGGCCACAGGCUGAUGACCAAGCCUUUAGCACAUGGGCAAUGGGGACAUUUGACAUCCAAACCACAAUGCCAAGUGAUCAUUAACUGGGGGCUAACCCCUGGUCACCGGGCCAAUCCCUUCCCACACCCCAGACCUGGGGAGAUUGACUGCCAUCUGCAGGACAUCCACUGCAGGCAGCUGCCUCAGCCAACAUGGAAGUCCUUAGCAGAGGCUUUUUUUUUUUGGUGGUGGUGGGGGGGAGGUACCAGUGUUUGAUCUCAUGGAUGCUUGACCACUGAGCCACAUCCCCAGCCCAAUUUUGUAUUUUAUUUACAGUCAGGGUCUCACUCAGUUGCUUAGUGCCUUGCCAUUGCUGAGGCUGGUUUUGAACUUUUGAUCCUCUUGCCUCUGCCUCCCGAGGUGCAGGGAUUACAGGAGUGCACCACUGCGUUGGCCAAGAGGCUCAUUUUUGACAGUGGGGUUUCCUUGGAGAGAAAGCUAUCCCUUGCCCUGGGGGACAUCCCUGAUUUGCUCACACAGCAGGGCUGUGUCACUUUUUCUUUUCUCUGGAGAGCGACUCAAUUCAUACCUCGUAAACAUAGCCCCACAGGUUCUCUGAUUAAGAACAGUGCAGAGCUGGGGAGCAGUGGUGCAUGCCUGUAAUCCCAGCAACUCUGGAGGCUGAGGCAGAAGGAUUGAAAGUUCAAAGCCAACUUUAGCAGCUUAGGGAGGCCCUAAGA
Molecule: long non-coding RNA, 3120 nt
Filed under: Marmota monax (woodchuck)
Lineage: Eukaryota; Metazoa; Chordata; Mammalia; Rodentia; Sciuridae
Source: RNAcentral